CCCACCUUUGACAUGUAUGGAAUCCUUUAGAGAUAGAGGAGUGCUCGAAAGAGAGCCAUAACACAGGUGCUGCAUGGCUGUCGUCAGCUCGUGUCGUGAGAUGUUGGGUUAAGUCCCGCAACGAGCGCAACCCUUGCCAUUAGUUGCUACGAAAGGGCACUCUAAUGGGACUGCCGGUGACAAACCGGAGGAAGGUGGGGAUGACGUCAAGUCCUCAUGG
This 220-nucleotide ribosomal RNA is filed under the name Paenacidovorax caeni. RNAcentral's name for it is "Acidovorax caeni partial 16S ribosomal RNA". It matches the Rfam family "Bacterial small subunit ribosomal RNA", at positions 974 to 1198 of the family's 1533-position model. The record is from RNAcentral. Lineage: Bacteria; Pseudomonadati; Pseudomonadota; Betaproteobacteria; Burkholderiales; Comamonadaceae.